RNAcentral lists this transfer RNA (67 nucleotides) under Amphinemura wui. RNAcentral describes it as "tRNA-Met". It matches the Rfam family "tRNA". Rfam says of the family: Transfer RNA (tRNA) molecules are approximately 80 nucleotides in length. Their secondary structure includes four short double-helical elements and three loops (D, anti-codon, and T loops). Further hydrogen bonds mediate the characteristic L-shaped molecular structure. tRNAs have two regions of fundamental functional importance: the anti-codon, which is responsible for specific mRNA codon recognition, and the 3' end, to which the tRNAs corresponding amino acid is attached (by aminoacyl-tRNA synthetases). tRNAs cope with the degeneracy of the genetic code in two manners: having more than one tRNA (with a specific anti-codon) for a particular amino acid; and 'wobble' base-pairing, i.e. permitting non-standard base-pairing at the 3rd anti-codon position. Lineage: Eukaryota; Metazoa; Arthropoda; Insecta; Plecoptera; Nemouridae. The record is from RNAcentral.
GAAAGGUAAGCUAAUCAAGCUACUGGGUUCAUACCCCAUUUAUAGAGGUUUAACCCUCUUCUCUCUA